Molecule: ribosomal RNA, 370 nt
Filed under: uncultured organism
Description: partial 16S ribosomal RNA
Rfam family: Bacterial small subunit ribosomal RNA
Source: RNAcentral
GUAGGUGGCAAGCGUUAUCCGGAAUUAUUGGGCGUAAAGCGCGCGCAGGCGGUCUCUUAAGUCUGAUGUGAAAGCCCACGGGCUCAACCGUGGAGGGUCAUUGGAAACUGGGAGACUUGAGUGCAGGAGAGAAAAGUGGAAUUCCACGUGUAGCGGUGAAAUGCGUAGAGAUGUGGAGGAACACCAGUGGCGAAGGCGGCUUUUUGGCCUGUAACUGACGCUGAGGCGCGAAAGCGUGGGGAGCAAACAGGAUUAGAUACCCUGGUAGUCCACGCCGUAAACGAUGAGUGCUAGGUGUUGGGGGGUUCCACCCUCAGUGCUGAAGUUAACACAUUAAGCACUCCGCCUGGGGAGUACGACCGCAAGGUUG